RNAcentral lists this ribosomal RNA (450 nucleotides) under uncultured Glomeromycotina. RNAcentral describes it as "SSU rRNA". It matches the Rfam family "Eukaryotic small subunit ribosomal RNA", at positions 569 to 1023 of the family's 1831-position model. The record is from RNAcentral. Lineage: Eukaryota; Fungi; Glomeromycota.
CGCAGCCGCGGUAAUUCCAGCUCCAAUAGCGUAUAUUAAAGUUGUUGCAGUUAAAAAGCUCGUAGUUGAAUUUCGGGAUCAAUUUAUUGGUCGUGCUAUUGUACGUACUGGUAUUAUUGAUUCCUACCUUCUGACGAACCAUGAUGUCAUUAAUUUGGUGUCUUGGGGAAUCAGGACUGUUACUUUGAAAAAAUUAGAGUGUUUAAAGCAGGCUCACGCUUGAAUACAUUAGCAUGGAAUAACGAAAUAGGACGUUUGAUUCUAUUUUGUUGGUUUCUAGGAUCGACGUAAUGAUUAAUAGGGAUAGUUGGGGGCAUUAGUAUUCAAUUGUCAGAGGUGAAAUUCUUGGAUUUAUUGAAGACUAACUACUGCGAAAGCAUUUGCCAAGGAUGUUUUCAUUAAUCAAGAACGAAAGUUAGGGGGAUCGAAGACGAUCAGAUACCGUCGUAG